UGAAGCUCUGGGGACUCUGGUGGUGGACGCCAACUCCGAGUGAGUCAAACUUGGUUUCAAGUCCCAGCAUCACUGCUAACGAGCUGAAUGAAAUGAAAUCUGUGGAGCCUCAGUUUCUCUCCUCUGCAAAAUGGGGAUAAGAGCUCCCUCUUCAUCAGGUUAUGGUGAAAGAACUAUGGGAGGAUCAACACUACUUGAAGCCACCAGUUUCUGGGAAUAUGUCACAGCGGCCCAGGAAACGCAUGCAGAAGGUUUGGAAAUCUGUCUUUCUGAUGUCUGGGGAAGGAGACAAACCCCCAGGCCCUGUGAGUCCCUUCCUGGCACCUGCUCACGGGGUUGGGCAGACGGUCAGUGGGAAGAGAAGGGACCGUCCUGGAAGGUGAGAGGAGCUUCAGGCAGCAAAUUCCAGAAUUGGAGUUCUCCUCUGGGUUCAGUCUUGGGUUGCAGCUGACAGGCACUUCUGGGAAAGGCAAAUGACAGAAUUGCUGGUGUCAAGAGGUGAAAUAAUACAGUUCCA
Molecule: long non-coding RNA, 517 nt
Filed under: Callithrix jacchus (white-tufted-ear marmoset)
Lineage: Eukaryota; Metazoa; Chordata; Mammalia; Primates; Cebidae
Description: lncRNA (ENSCJAG00000075228.1)
Source: RNAcentral